Molecule: long non-coding RNA, 26556 nt
Filed under: Setaria viridis
Lineage: Eukaryota; Viridiplantae; Streptophyta; Magnoliopsida; Poales; Poaceae
Description: long non-coding RNA (SVIR_LNC001154)
Source: RNAcentral
GUGUUUGCUGCUGAAGUGGAGAAGCUGAAGGCUGACCAGUUCAAGCCAUCGGAGCAGGUGACCCUGGAGCCCUUUGAGCGCGACCACGCCUGCGUCGUUGGUGGCUACAGGAUGCCCAAGAAGCAAAAGGCUACUUAAAAAAAGAAGAGAUGGUGUUUGAUGCUUGCACUACUAGAUGAUAUGUUGUAUCCCGGAGAAAGAACUUUCGCAAGUGUUGGGGUUUUGGAGCAGCUAUAUUGAACUUGUGCUGUGUUUGCAGCAAUUUAGUCGAAUCAAGAGAUAGUCGUGGCUUUGUUGAUGUUGUUUUCCUUGGGUGCGCCUAAUGUUUCCAGUAGCUAUGGUCUUCUGUUUUGAUGCAAUCUUCACUGGUCACGGGCGUUUUCUGGUAUGUGGUGAGUACAAGGAUUUCAAAUUGUUGGUUGUAGCCAGAUGGUAGGCAUUGGCCGUCAGAAACGCGACGCAGGGCAUGGUUUUGUUGUUGCCUGUUGCGUUCUUUUUGGAGCUGUAGGAUUGCUUGUGUUGAGUGAAGUUCCUUUUCACUUGCAAGAAGGGUAUCGUUUCCGUUCCGGUUGAGAGUGGAGUGUAACGUAACCAGGUACAAAUACCAUUACUUUUCUUUUUCUUUUUUCUGAAGUAAGAUAAAAUUUAAUUUAACGUGAAAAGAAGUAAAAGAUCUGCAUAGCACUGGCAGCAACUGGUGACAACCAGUGGGCCAGGCCCGGAAAAGGGAUGGGCCUAGAGUCCCGUCAUGUCUGAGGCGGCGGUGUCAGUCAGUAGAAAAUAUCUCUUCCUAUCCUGAUCGGCUGCCUGCUCUCCCUUUCCCCACUUCGCCUUCUUCCCCUCUGCGAUCGCCGCCGCGGAGAAGCAACCGCCCCUCCCCUCCUCGCUGGUACGUACGGCUGCUGAGCCCUCCUCACCCUCCCGAUCCCCUCUCCGGCAGCGCUCCGAUCCCCCGCCUCCCUCCCCUCCCCUUCCCCAUGCAUCAACCAACUGUGGAAUCCCCUCUCCUGCAGCGCUCCGAUCCCCCGCCUCCCUUCCCUCCCCUUCCCCCAUGCAUCAACCAACUGUGGAAUCCCGCCGCCUCCUUCAUCGGUUGUUUGUUGGCUUGGAUUCAUACGCGCCCCCAGUCUCUUUUGAUUCUCUCGACCAGUCGGCGUCGUUCUGGUGCUCGCAGUCUUCUUUUAUUUGCUGCUAAUAAUCAAUCGCCUGUGCUGCUUGCUGCAUAGUGGGGAAGUAUAUGGUUGACUUACUGCUUGCCUCGCCCGUAUCGUCGUCGUGCUGCUACUACCUUUACUCGAUUUCCAUUCUGCCGUGGCGGUGCAAGUAAAUCUGUACCAACCAGUGGUCUGUACACACUGUGCACAUACUUUUAUCCUAACUCAUAAACUGUUGCGACGACCUAUGGUUGAUGGGCAAAUAGACGUCAAUGGCGUGUCAGAAUCUGCCCUUUUGCUACAUGACACCAUUCCAGACUCAUCAGCUACUACCACCAGCAAUGACGAAAUCUACAAGUUUUCAUUUUCUGAAUACCUUAGGGUGCCUGAAUGGACUGCAUGUACUCUGCUGCUAGUUAUCCGCAUUUCUACCAAGUGGCUAUUUUGUUGGAGCAGUAAGAGAAAUUCGGUCCGUUGCCCACCACUUUCCUUCUAUCAAGAUUCAACUUCAAAUUCCAAUUCAAGUUCUAAUUCUGCAGGCAAACCUUGCCUAACCUUUCUUCUUUUUGAAACAUUAUUACUGCUUCCGCUACUUGCCCCAGCUUCUAUUUUAUAGAGAUCUGCACUGCAAAGGAUGUGCAUGUUGCAUUCUCUAAGACUCUAACCUAAUUUCCUUUUCACAUGUUACCGCCUUCUACUAAUUGGAUUCCCUGAUUUGAUCACAGAGAAGAAGAAGAAGAUGGAGCCUGACCAGAGUGGCACCGAGCAGACCUCUCCACGUGGGAAUGAUUGGGAAGUCGUGCAACUCACUGCAUCAGCAUACGCAGCUGCACCUGCACCGAGGAGAUCUGAACCUUCUGAGGAGGCUGAAGCUAAGAAAUACGGCACCAAAGGGGAUGAUUCAGCAGCUGCCCUGUUGAUGUCUGGCCAUUUCUCCGUGUCCCAGAGUGAAGUUGAGAGCCUCCUCAUAGGCGCAGACAUCAAAGGACCGCACAAGGAGCUCUGCAGCCAAGAUGCAGUUUCUAACGAGGGCGAUGAAGAGAAAUACCAAGAAACUUGCAAGCAUAAAUUGGAGGGUGACCUACCCAGUAUUCCAUCCUUGGACAAAGGGAAAAAUGUUUCCUUGGGUGAUAUGGAGUUUGAUGAUGGCAAAGCAUUGCAGGGCAUGAGUUUGGUCGGGGAAGAGUCGGUUGGGUUCUCAUCACCUAUUUACAGCUCAAUUGAGGCUGAAAAGGAUUUAGGCCAAUCAGCUACGGAGAGUAGAAAUGAGAAGAAAACUGAGGAGUCAACUCUGCAUAUUGUGAACCCCAAAACCGGUUCAUCAAAGGUCGUUUCAUCUGGUGAACAGAACAAACCUGAUGGUUCAGGCCCACGGGAUGCAUGGUGGAAGAAGAAGAUUUUAUCUCUGUACAUGAAUGCAAAGGAAAGCAACAACUUCUGGCCUAUUGUUGCGGCUGCUGCUGCUGCUGCUGCUGGUUUGGUGGGCCUGGCAUAUUUUGGGCACCGCUGGCAUAAGGGCAAGUUGCAACUUCAGCUGGGGAAACAGCCACCUUCUUGCAACAAGGAGGUAAUUACAAAACACACCUUUUAUUUCUAGCGACAGGAAGCAUGUUGACUACGACCCAGGAGUGCCUGUAAUGACUAUAACCAGUGACCAUGAAAUUUGUCUAAAAUCACACACAAAUAAAGACUUGGUUUAUCCUCAUCUGAUUAUGUCCACCUUAGCUACUGUCCUUAUAACCAGGUACUUGCAGUGUUCUUGAUGUGAACAUGCAAUAUCAACUUAAAUGUGGAUACCUGUUUGCAAAAUAGUGCGUGUUCAUAAGAGCGUAAAUGUCUAUUUCUGGCAAGGACUAAGUAGCUAUGGAGUAUGUCCAAUUAACUUUGUUGUUCUUGGAUUAUAUAACCAUUCUAUAGUUUGCAUUUUGUUGAUGUGCCAUUGCAGAACUGAGUCAAACCAGCCUGUUGGUUUUUUUCCCCUGUUUUCUGAUAUUUGUUUCUUACUGCUUCAUCAUAAGUUGCUUAAGUUGUACUUGCCAGUAAUGAGGAAUUCACUAGGCAUGCGCAUCUUACAUGCUACGAUUCCAGAAUUUCGAAAUAUGUUGAUUGUGCCAAGUCCUAUCUAUUUUAUUUACUAGCGUGCUAGUGUUUCUGCUGUGGUAGCUAUGUGUUUACAUGUUUUCUCAAUUCCAUCAGGCUGCUGAGUGCUAAUGAAAGCAGAAUGUGUCUACAUGUUUUCUCAAUUGCAUCAGGCUGCUGAGUGCUAAUGAAAGCACACUCUUGUUUUCAUUCCAGAAAAUCAAUGAUGCUGUUGGACCGUUAAACCGUAUCAAGGACAUCCUUGUUGCUGGCAAUCACCCAAGUCCCGGUAUCCAUGGGCAUGCCCGAGCAAGCGGAAUGUGAUCAGUCUGGUAAACCCAUCAUCGACAUCUGGAUCCAUCCAUAUUGCUCGAGACAUGGGGCCCAAAAUGAAGAGCAUGAGGGCAAAUCUGGAGCAAAAUGUUUCAAGAAGGCUCGAGGAUGUUUGAUGGCUGUGUAAAUUCCAAAACCCCUUUUGGAUAUGUAAAUAUUAUGAGUUUAGUGUGGUUGCCCUUUUCUUUCGGUCAUUUCAUCGAACCUCCAGUGGUUUCCUUCCGCACCGGCAUCAACUGCUGUGCUGUGUACCCACCAUGCAUAUUAACUGUGUCUGUCUUGUUUGGGGUUGCUCAUGCAUAUGAAUUAUGAUGACUACGGUCUGGUAUUCCUAUGCUUUGGCGUGCAACUGUGACUCCAGCCCAUCGGUGUAUUGCAGAAAAUGCCGGGGAUUUUAGCAAAAUUUUCUGGGCGUCGUCUGGAGUGGCACAAAGGGUCGUCGACUGGGCUUUACCGAUUUGUGGUUGUUUGUAGGAGGAGGAUAUGCAUCAAUGACCAAUACAUGUAUGUCCCCCAUCUUGUUGCUCCGAAUGAUGCUUGGACUAGAGAUGCUAUCCAGCUUUUACCAGAAACAGAAAAAGGAAAAGAAAUUGAAUAUUGGCAGAGGGAUUAUCAUAUCUUGUAAUCAAUGGCGUGUACGUAGGAACAAGACUAAACAAUGGCGUGCCAAUCACUGCUACGCGUUAUGCACUGAUGCCCCUAAACCCUAAAUAAAGUUGGUGGAGUCAACUUGUCCAACUGCAGCCACUCAAGACAAGAAACUACUAGCUACAACAAAAAUAGAGGAAAGCCAGCCAAGCCCAGCCUCGGCCCGGCUCUGCUUCAUUAGACUAUUAGCGUCUUCUUUAAGAGCAUGCAGCUUGCAUAUCAAGAAAGCGCCAAAAACCGGAGUAAGAAGUCAUCUCAUAACAUGGUACAGUGCACAUUCAUCCCUGGACAACCAACCACACCCCCAAAUGCUCAACUACCUGCUAAUAAACUGCAGUUGUGAGUUAACAUUCACUGCUCCCCCGCCUUUUGGAAGCCAUAAUAGGGCACAUGCACUCAGCCGCGUGAAGAAGUUAGCUCUUUGAUGCGACCAAAGCAAGAGCUUUGGAACCAAACAAACUAGAAACGAUUUUGAUCUUUAGAACUAUUCCAAAUUGUAGGUCAUUCCAACUUUCUUGGUAUAAUAAAUAUUAGUACUUCAUCGUAUAAAUUUGAUCAAACUUGAGAUGCUCCGACUCUCCAAAAAAGUUGGAAUGACUUAUAAUUUGGAACGGAGGAAGUAUUACAAAAGGAAUAUUAAUUGUCUUAUUAGCUAUACUGUUAGGCUAAUUCUAGUUCAUUGUAUCGUACUUAUUUGACACGAAAAUAACCUCAUCGAAACCUGAACUAUAUUAUAUGAUUGCCACACAUAAUUUUUAGAAGACAUGGCAUAGAGUUAAUAAAAAGAGAGUAAAGUUAUCUCUUCAUGAAAAUAUAUCUUAGGCACGAAAUUCACCUCAUCGUACAAGUAGCCCAUAAUUCCAAACCGUAUGUAGUUGAAAUAGUACCACUCAUGAGCUCAUCCCGUCCCAAAAGAGAUAUAUCCCCUAUACCAUAAACAUGAAUUGUAUCCGUCUACGUUCUGUAUAUCCGUUCUUCGACCCCCAUACCAGGAAACUUGUAUAUCCGUUCCUCGAUCCCGUCAUACUAAGAACCUUAUAUGACAUUGGUUGCAUCACAAAGUGGCACAUGGAGCCGUCUGUUGGUUUUUUUUUUUCCAGCCUAAUCCAAAUUUGACAUGAUGUUUGAUUAGGACUAGUUUGGAUUUAGGUUAUGUGGUGGGAUCUAUGAAAAUCUUUCCUUACUUUGCCGUGCACAUCGCUUACUUCAGCACGUUAGGCGGCCAUCUCAAAUCGAGCUCGGAUCCAGCUUUAGCCAAGUAGUGGCUCUUCAGCGCCAAAUCAGUUACCCGCCUACAUCCCAAGUAAGAGCGUAUCCUAAUGUAAUCCACUUGUAUCAAUAGGAAUAUGAAGCCAUGCAAUCUUUCUCUUCCCUCCUUCUCUGUCCACGGUACCAAACAUGGGCUCCUGUAUCCAUUAUCCAAACGCCCACCUAAAGACUUGUAAUUAAACGGUUAAAAAAAAUUGAUAUCGCGGUCGUCUCUCCUCUUCCUCAGCUCCUCUCCGUAACCUUCCAAAAAGUCUCUCCUCUCCUUUCUCCCGUUCCUCUCUCCCAACCCUUUCUUUCCUGGCGGCGACGACUGGACGACCGGCGGCGACUGGGCGAGCGGCGCCAUCCUACGCCAGGCCUUCGUCGGACCCGUCGCCGGCGACGAGUACCAACUAGGUACGCCCUUCCGUUCCAUUCCCUGAUUCCCUUCCCUUCCCUUCCCGUUGUCCAAAUCGAGCUCCCCAAACCCUAAUGCAAGCCAAUUUUAUUCGGAUCUGACCCAAUUAUAAGUGUACGCAUGUAUUGCUUCGAUUCUUUGCAAAAAAUUAUCGGGUCCUAUACUGGAUCCGCUCCUGCAACUCGGUACCUUAGGUGAGGGUUUCUGCAAUUCCGUGAGAAUUCCCACGUCUCUUUCGGCCAAGUCGCGCAAGAUUUGCAUUUCUGGUUGUUAUAUCCGUUUACUGGAUGGUUCGGCUCCUCUGGAUUAACACAUAACCUCAAUCCCUGCAGGCUGAUUUGGUCGUCUUGAUUUCGUGGAAGUGAUCUGGCAACGGGGGGCUCCUUGUUGAGCAGACCGGAUCAUGCUUCUUGCAGUGUAAAAGCUUGGAUCUCCUAGGUGUGCCUUGGAGCGGAGAGGAUCGUGUGUUCUUACUCCUUGCUGCGACCAUCAUGCAGAGUGGGGGUGACAUGAGACCUGUGCACAACAGCGUUGACACAGUGAAUGCAGCGGCUGCAGCCAUUGUCACAGCGGAGAGCCGCACACAAGCUCCCCCAGAGCCGGUAUGUUCUUCAACACCUUACUGCAUGAUCCCUUUCUUUAUCAAUGCGACUGAUGCCCUGGUGGUGUUUUGGGAACCACGUCAAUUUAUAAAACGGUAUUCUUGUGUCACUGGAUUGAGUAGUUGGGCAUUUUCUGUAAUCAGUAGUGUUUCCAUACAGAUUGAGUAAUUUGGCUUAGAUUUAGUUUGUGCAUUAAAAGAUGUUCUUCUGAUCUCGGUAUUCUUCCUAGAAAGCGAAUGAAUAGUACCACAAUUUGCUAUUAUGUUGUAUGUGGGUUCGUGGUUUACCCCUGGAGAGAUAGAUGCUGCUCUAGAAUGUUGAUCUCAGGAUUCUUCCUAGAAAGUGAAUGAAUAGUACCACAGUUCGCUAUUAUAUAGUAUGUGUGUUCUUGUUUUAUCCUUGGCAAGAUAGAUGCUUCUCUAGAAUGCUUAUCCAUUUGUUUCUACAACUGCUUUUUAGUAUCUUCUUCACUUAGUUGAUUUGUUCUUACGUCUCAUGCAACAUGUGCCAUGGAGUGUACUUUUGAUUAUAUUGCUGCAGUUAGUUUUAUUGUUAAGAUGGGUAACAAAUGUUGACAAAACUUGGCUUGGAGUUUAUUUUGUGCAACUAAAUGGAUGUACUUCUGAUCUUAGGAUUAGAAAGUGAAUGAAUGGUAGGCAUGGUUUGUUACUAUGUAGUAUUUGUGAUUUUGUGUUCUUAUUGAUACAGAUGCAGCUCUAGAAUGCUGAUCUAUUUAUCUCUCUGUCUACUUGGUAGCAUCAAUGGAAAAAUUGUGUGCUACUUUCUUAUUCACUUAGUUGACCUUUAUUAUUCCUUUUGUUACAUUGUUUUAAAAUCUAUGAGAAAGUAUGAGCGCCUUUAUUUAAAAAAACGACAAAUGAAACCAAGUUUAGUCACCGCACUGGUUUUUUCUUGGAACUUCAACGAUGCUCUGUUUUUUCAUCGAGAAAAAUAUUUAUAUAGUGAGUACUACAUUUGACACUUUCAGAGUGCCAUGUUUGUAUAGUAUCAGCAUUGAAACUAUGCAUGAAAAUGGCAUUGUGAGCAAGGAGAGAUGCCUUAGAAAGAAAAGGGAAUAGUUGAAACAGUUAAGUUGAAUUAUUCAGUGGAUUAGAUGGGACAAAAAAGAUUCUUUCUUUGCUGGCCAUAUACCACCAGCUAGUUGUUUCUUUUUUUAUCCCCAACCUUAGAUACCCCUCUCUCCUUUUUCAGUACAUGCUGCUUUCAGUGUUUUUUUUUAUCUUGGUAUAUUUAUUAGUUCCCCUCUUUCAGCUUGUCUGUUUUUUUUUUGUUAAAGUAUGGUGCUUUGAUUCAAACCUUUGAUUGUCGAUCUCCAAGCCUCAUGAACUGUACCUUGCGGGACUGGUGUGGAUACAUUACAUGUGAUGCAUUUAUGUUUUAGCCUUCAUUUAUUUUUACAAUAUCAAUUGAUGCUCCAUGGUGAAGACAGGGUUUUAGAAUGUCUUUAAAAAAAUGUUUUUCUAUCCCAUAUAUUUUGCCAAGUAUGAUUCCCUCCUUUUUCCUUUCUCCAUCUACCACGGAGAUCUCUGUGUGUAACUUCUCUUAGCUUUGGUGAUUCAUUUGCUUUUAGUUUUAAGGAAAUCUGCGACUAUGACUCUUGGGCAUUUGAUUGACUCACCAAAAACUUAUUUGUCUGAGAUGUGUUGAACUCAUUGUACUGCUCUCUGGUUAACUAUUGCUUAUGGGUAUUUGGUUCUCUCCUGUUUAUACGUGUGAGUUGCCAUGUUUAUUGGCGAACUUCUAUGAGAAGCACAAUCAUCUCAUACCUGAUUCUUGAUUACACGUCACCAGUAUUAUGCUUUCCCUCUUUGCUAACUGCUUUUGAUUUUUUGCAGCGAAGGAAAUGGGCUGACCGUCUGAGCGUGUACUUCUGCUUUGGGUCUCAGAAGAAUGGUCGGCGCAUCAACCACGCUGCACUUGUCCCGGAACCCACAUCUCAAAGGACAGAUACACCUGCAGUAGAAAUUCCUGACCACCCACCGCCUCCUGUAUUCCCAUUUGUCGCACCUCCGUCCUCUCCAGCUUCCUUCCUCCAAUCAGAACCCACAUCUAUUGUACAAUCGCCAAGGAUCGGCGCUCCACCAUUUUCACCCCUCUCGCCAAACUCCCCAUCCCCCACAGGGCCACCAUCCAUCUUUGCUAUUGGGCCAUAUGCACAUGAGACACAGCUAGUCUCACCUCCAGUGUUCUCAGCCUUCACAACUGAACCAUCAACUGCUCCUUUCACUCCUCCACCGGAGUCUGUCCAUUUGACAACCCCUUCUUCUCCAGAGGUCCCAUAUGCAAAGCUUCUGACUUCGAUCAACAACAGCAAGAAUGGUGAAACAGGGGAUCUUCAGUCAUAUCCGAAUUACCCAGACAGCCCAAUAGCGCGCCUGAUAUCUCCAAGCUCAGGUUGUUCUGGCACUUCCUCCCCAUUCCCUGACCCGGAGAUGCUGGCUUCCUCACACUACACAUUCCCCUCGUUCCCAGUUCGUGAGCCACCAAAGAUAUUGGAUGGAGAGGGUGUUGCAACACAGAAGUUGAUACCUCGCCAUAUGCGCAAUGGCGGUUCCAUUUUGGAUGGCCACAUUGCAGCCGCUGUUCCGGUUGCAGACUUCUCUGCCCGCCUUCAGCCCAACGAUCAUGCUAUGGAUCACCGGGUAUCAUUUGAGUUGACCGUGGAAGACGUGGCGCGCUGCCUAGAGAAGAAAACUGCUAUUUCUGGGGAUUCUGCGACAGCUUCUUUUCAUCUUGCACCCACCAGCAGUGGUGACCACAAGAGGGAGUCUAACGAUACAAGGGCGGGGCUAUACGUUGAUGAGACAUACCAUGACCUGCCUGAGAAAGCAAGGCGGUCCCUGUCCCUUCGCCUGGCCAAGGAGUUCAACUUCAACAACGUUGAUGCUGCCAAUGUGGAGCCAAGCGUGGGGUCUGACUGGUGGGCGAACGAGAAGGUUGCCGGGAUCACUUCGGAGCCGGAGAAAGGAUGGUCCUUCCACCCGGUGGCGCAGCCGGGGGUCAGCUAGCCCCUUUGCACACUGACCAUAAUCUUUCAGGAUGAUGAAGGAACGAGCUUCCGCUUCUUUUGCUGCUGCUUCGGUGCGUGGUGUUCGCAGAUAUUGCUGUGGGGUAUGCUAAACUUGCAGUUAGUGAUAAUCCAAAGUUAGAUAGUGAUUCGAAGUGAAGCUAAUUAAUACCAUGGUGAGAUAGUAAAGGAUUCUGGAGUCUCUGGUUAUUAUGUGGAACCGCAAAACUUGCGUCCUGUCUGUGUCUGUAUCCCGUGUACUGACUUGGUGUCCUGCUGAUACUGUUUGUGUCUGUACAUAAUAAGCUGCUGUAGUCGAAAAGGGUACAACUCCUUGGUUUGGUCAAGUGUUGCGUUGGUGGCGGAUGCUGUAUGUAUGUAAUCGACCAAUUUACCCUCCGUGCUGCGUCUCCAUAUUUCUUCGUUUCUUGCAUCGAUUUCUUGGUGCUGCACAGUAGCUAUUCUGGCUGCAGGGCGGGUCCCGCCGGAGAUUACAUCGGGAUCACUGGCCAAGCAAUAGUGCCGAAGCAAAAUAUCAUUAGACACACACUGUGUGCUUGUUACAUCAAGCUCGCAUCCGCAUCUAUCGCCACGAGUAUUACUAUAGCAAGUAGUAUUCUGUUGUUCCACGUAUCGAUUUUCUAAAUUCAUUACCGUACAUUUAGAUAUACACUAUAUGGAUAUACAAAAUCUGUCUAAAAAAUAAAAAACGGUUCAAUUACCGUCAGUCGGCAAGCAAGAGAUGGAUGACUCGCACACCCCUCUCGUUUCACUUAUCCACGUCCAUUCAGAUUCAGACCGGCCAUAAUGCAGCUAGAUUUGCUACUACUCCCUCCCUCCGUUCCAAAUUGCAGGUCGUUUUGAUUUUUCUAGGUUCAUAGAUAUUAUUACGCACCUAGAUAUACACUAUAUCUAAAUGCAUAAUAAUAUCUUAAAAAUUCUAAAACGACCUACAAUUUGGAACGAAAUAGAAGAAGUAGAUCUACAAUUUGGAACGAAACAGAAGGAGCAGGUUGUAAGCCACCCGACCGCAAUUUUCCAGCUCAACCGCAACUAGAGUGAUCUCCGCCGUUGGAUAUAUAUCUCGAGUCUGCAGAGAAGAAAGAAAGCAUACGCGUAUACAAUAUUAGUUAGAUAGGUAGAAUAAUAAUCUGGGGUACGCAACGUAAUUAAGGGGCCUGGGCAAGAAAUUUGGAGGCAAUUCAAGUCGGAUGGGAUAACAACGUUGAUCCAUCAAUAAUUUAUUUGAGAAGAUGCUCUCUCUUCCUCCGGUGAGCCUUAGGCCGGCAUCUUCCGUCUCCGUCUCCGUCUCUGUCGGCGGGCCCGGCGGCCUAGCUAGGUGGUUUUCCUUCCCUUCCUUGCUGCAUUGCGUCGUCGAUCAAUCAUUGCGUGGCGAUAUUAUUAUUAGCAGCAGCUAAACUUGGAACUGAGUGUGUGGCUCAACUGGCAGCAGUGAUCAGCUUCCCAUCCAUCCCAUGUCAGACAUCAUCAGCCAUCGGCCGUAGAAUAAUGAUGGAUGGAGUAGUAUAUUGUUAAUUUGCCUGUCAAUUAGUAUGUGCUGCGAAGAUGACACCCCUCAACAAGCUAAGUUAUUUCGGAGAGACACAUGCAUUAUUUUUAGAGCAGCCAACAGGACUUACCCACACCUUUGAGCGAAUGAUUUAGGCACCUAUCAGCACACAUCGUGUUCUGCAAAUGAAUGAAUAAGAACUCAAGCAUACUAGCAUGCACGGAUAUAUAGAUGAUAAGUUGAAGGCUCUGUCAAACUAACUAACUAAUUCAGCACAAUGAUCAUGCAGGCAAUUUCUGUCAGCUAAGAGAAGCAUCUGGCUGACAUAGAAAAUGACACGCUUGACAGCAUGUAGAAUGUGGUGGUGAAUCCCUGACAUGUCCAGUCCUCAGGUAAGAGCACAAUUUACCUCUUGAGACGUCACUGCAUGCUGAGAUAAUCCAUCCUGUCAGAGCUCACCCCACAGACGAUAACUUGCAAAUGACUCUCACAAUAUAAAUAAAAUAUUAUUAGAACCACAACAAAUCCUUACAGCACAGCAUGUAAUAUUCCAGGUGUGACCUGGAUCCAAGGCAAACAAGGGAGGAUGCUUGAUGCCAUGGUAUGGUCCAAGCAAUUCCACUGCAACGUACAGUGCUUCUUCUUCUCCCUUGAUGCGAUGCAGUCGUGGUCAUGGCAGAACCGCGCGCGCGCGGCCAGGUGAGCCCACAUGUGUGUGCAAUGUGCAAUGUGCAUGUGCCAACCCAUUUUCCCUCCUGUCUCCUGAAUAAAAAUAUCCAACGUCACUAAUUGGAUUGGGGAGGGAGAUCAGAGGAGCCAAAAAAUAUCCAACAGGGAGGGAGCCCAUGUGGAGGCUGCCUGCUUGCCAAGUGUGAUGUGAGCGCCGUGCUUGCCAUGUGUUGAUGAGCUAGUCCACCAUAGCAUAGACAAACAAAUAAUCCUCCUCCUCCUACCUGGCUCUUACCCUGUCUUCUUGUACCAAAACAAAGCUCCCACCAAAUCAGCCCUCUUCUUCUUCUUCUUCUUCUUCUUCUUCUUCUUCUUCUUCUUCUUCUUCUUCCCCGUCUCGUCUCGAAUCGGAACGAAUUUGUUCCAGUAUAAUUGUUGGUUGUUUCAUUGUCAAUUCUUGUUGGAAGCUUUAGCUCUUGCCCUCUUGGAGAUGAGGAUAGAGGUAUGUGUACGCAUGCAUGUAUGCGGCUACUAUACUUUGUAGUAGCUAGCUACUAGUUGAUACUUUUAGCAAGCAAUCAGUAUAAUUGAGCUCCAAUUCUUCCUCUUGUUCUUGUUGCCCCUGCUUCAAUUCGCAAGUUGAGUGCUCGGAUCUCCUAUUAUCUAUAGUACUGUAGUUUUCUUGGUGGAAGAUUUUUUAUUCCUCCGAUCCAGCUAGCUAGAUCCACCGUACAUACCUCUCGAGCAAUUCUCAAUUUCAGAGCAAUCGACCUGCUGCUGGCUUGAAUCUUUCCACUGCAUUCAGUGAAAUUAAAGGAUCUCCAAUCCAAGCCGAUAAUGGCGAUGGAGCCUGAGUUGAAGGUCGCGCUGGGUUCCGCCGCGUUCGCCAUCUUCUGGGUGCUGGCGGUGUUCCCGGCGGUGCCCUUCCUCCCGAUCGGCCGCACGGCGGGUUCCCUGCUGGGCGCGAUGCUGAUGGUGCUCCUGGGCGUGAUGAGCGCCGACGAGGCGUACGCGGCGGUGGACCUGCCCAUCCUGGGCCUGCUGUUCGGCACCAUGGUGGUGAGCGUCUACCUGGAGCGCGCCGACAUGUUCCGGCACCUUGGGCGGGUGCUCUCGUGGCGGAGCCGCGGCGGGCGGGACCUGCUGGUGCGGACCUGCGCCGUGUCGGCGGUGGCGUCGGCGCUCUUCACCAACGACACCUGCUGCGUGGUGCUGACGGAGUUCAUCCUCAAGAUCGCGCGGCAGAACAACCUGCCGCCGCGGCCGUUCCUGCUGGCGCUGGCGUCCAGCGCCAACAUCGGCUCCGCCGCCACGCCCAUCGGCAACCCGCAGAACCUGGUGAUCGCGGUGCAGAGCCGCAUCCCCUUCGGGCGCUUCGUCCUGGGGAUCCUCCCCGCCACGCUCCUGGGCUCCGCCAUCAACGCCGCCAUCCUGCUCUGCCUCUACUGGGGCCAGCUCGACGGCGGCAGCAAGCCCGCGCCCGAGGAGGUGGCCGUCGCCAACUGCUUCGUGCCCACCGAGGUGGUGGAGGAGGAGGACGUGACGUCGCACCGGUUCACACCCGCCACCAUGUCGCACCUGCUGCUGCUUAAUAAGCCGGUCAAGCAGCCGGCGGAGGAGGAGCCCGUCAUCAAGCAGCCGGCGGAGGACGAUGCCACCGUCAUCAAGCAGCCGGCCGGAGCUGUGGCCAACGGCAACGGCAUCCACCAGAGGCGCGGCAAGCAGGAUGAUCAUAAGGAGCAGUGGCAGUCGCAGUCGCCGGAGGAUAAGGAUAACGGGGACGAAGAGGACGACGAGGAGUGGCAGAGCAGGUUGUGGAAGGCGUGCGUGUACGUGAUCACGGCGGGCAUGCUGGUGGCGCUGCUGCUGGGGCUCAACAUGUCGUGGAGCGCCAUCACCGCGGCGCUGGCGCUCAUCGUGCUCGACUUCAAGGACGCGCGGCCCUGCCUGGAGAAGGUGUCGUAUCCUCUGCUGCUCUUCUUCUGCGGGAUGUUCAUCACCGUGGACGGCUUCAACAAGACGGGCAUCCCCAGCGCAUUCUGGGAGAUGAUGGAGCCCUACGCGCGGAUCGACACGCCCACCGGCACCGUCAUCCUCGCGCUCGUCAUCCUCCUCCUCUCCAACGUCGCGUCGAAUGUACCCACAGGUAUGGGUAUGCAUUUGCAUUUGCAUUUCCCUUGAAUGAAUUGCAUUUGAAUUGUUUGAUGAAUGAAUUGAAUACGUAGUUCUGCUGCUCGGCGCCCGGGUGGCGGCCUCCGCCGCGGCCAUCUCCCCCGCCGCCGAGACCAACGCGUGGCUCCUCCUCGCCUGGACCAGCACGGUGGCCGGCAACCUGUCCCUCCUGGGCUCCGCCGCCAACCUCAUCGUCUGCGAGCAGGCGCGCCGCUCCCAGCAGUACGGAUACACACUCUCCUUCCUCAGCCACCUCCAGUUCGGCUUCCCGGCCACGCUCGUCGUCACGGCCAUCGGCCUGCUGCUCAUCAGAGGCUACUGAUCGAUUAUAUUGAUGAUCCGCCCCAUGUAUGUGUAUGUGUAUGUAUAUGGAAAUAUGGAAUGGGAUAUGGAAAUACUACGGUGAUACUAUAUGUAUAUGUGUACAGGGAAUGGGGGAACGAAACAAAUUAAAUGUGUCCCAGCUUGUAUUUUGUACUACAGGAAAGAAAGAUUAUUCAUUGGUUCCGUUGCCUUGCCUCCCGAUGGGGUGACGAGGGCACGCUGCUUAGUUUGGAGGCGUUUUGAGCUCUAGUGCAUUUUAGUGGUCAAGGAAUUAAGCUCUACAUUUUGUAGUAGCAUAUCAUACAUAUACCACAUUAUAAAAAAGGGUACUGUAUGCAUCCUGUUUUAGCAGUCUACUAUCUGUUGUCCUUCCCAAUACUACUUGAGCUACUCCCACUCCCCAUAGAUGUCAAAGAUCAAUUAGUACCUAAAAAUUAAAAAAAAAACACAUAUGAACAACCAUGAAAUUAUAGUUCCCAUCUAAAACUGACAGAAUCUGAAUACAUCUUUAGCAUUUAUCUGAGCAAGCGGAGCCAGGAGCAUGUUACGAAGGAGCAGGCGGAGCCUAUUUUUUUAUAAUUUUAUUUUAAUUUCAAAUCUAAAACUAGUUUGCUGAGUGUCCGAAGGAUUGUACUUGGUAAACACUCUUGCACUCGGCAAAUCUAUUAUUUCCGAUAGUACUGCAGGUUGUUAGCACCUCCAAGUUGAAAUAAAUAUGUCGCAGAUUGUAACAAUCCACAUGCCGUAUGGUAUGGUAUUAUAUGGAAGUAGAAUACAUCUAAUCCAGUAUUGUUACUCUGCCUGAUUUUUUUUUUGUUUUGCAUUCUAUUUCUACCGUGGGCCCGGGUGUAAAUAAAAAAACGGGACGGGGGACUCGACCAGGGAAGGGAAGGGUUUUCCUCUCCUGCUCUCCCUCCGCCUCGUUCUACCCCCUUUGCCCGCCACGCCGCAAUCUCCUCCGCCUCACCGCCGGCCGCCUCACCGGCUGGCGACACGCCCUUCCGUCCGCCAAGUCUUCGCUCUCGCUCGUCCAACGGCGCGGCCCUCCUCUCCCCCGCCCUCUGCUGCUGCUCAGCUUGCGUGCGUGGAGCUGAGAUCCAUCCGGGCUCGGAUCGAUUCCUCCUCCGGCUGGUGAGUAACCCUAGCUUGCUACGGCUGUUAGAGCUAGGGUUUCGUCGUGUUCUAGGGGCCUUUCGUUUGCCGUGACGGGGAGAAUCCAAACCCAAAUCUCUCCUCCGCAUUCAGUUAGCUGCGUUUUUUUUUUGCUGCGUCGUUCCCCGUGCCCACUCGCCCAUCUACAGUGCGAUUAGGUGCUUGUUCGUCAGUGCGCAACGCCAAUCUGCCAUUGGUGCGUCUGCAGUGUGGUCGGCCCUACGCUGAUAAGUUUUUUUCGUGACAGGGCCUGCCUCUCGAGACUUGAGUAUUUCGCAAGGAUGUCCUGGUGCACGAUUGAGUCUGACCCUGGUGAGCAUCGUGUCUCUUGAUCGUUACUGUCCGCAUUAUUCUUCCAAAUCAUUCCUGUCUGUAUAAUUCUUCCAAAUCAUGGUAGGUCUAUCUAUCUCAAUGUUGCACAUGUGUAGUAUGUUCUCCUUUUAUUUUCCUGCAGGUCUGAGUUGUGCGCAUCAUGCGUUUUGUGUGUUUUGCUCAUAAGGCUACUGGGCUCGUUUAUACUUGAUAUGUCGUCAAGUGAAAAUUUAUAUCCAUGUGGCUUCUCCUUUUCUUUCAUGACUUUAUUCAUCAUCUUUUUUCGAGCCAUUGAGCAUCUGUUCUCCCCCACCUACCCCUCCAUUGUAGCGUGAGCAAACAAAUUGUUUCACCAGUUAUCACACUGUUGACAUUAUUACCCAUCGCAUCAUGGGUAGCUCUGAAUUUUGUUAUAUUAUGUUCCCCCCUUCUUUCCUGAAGUAACAAUCUAUUGAUGACACAUUUUUUGGUAUACUUACCUUUAUUUCUACUCCUUUUAUUGAUAUUUAAUUCAAACCAUUGCUUAUGUUUCACUCGAGCAGGUGUUUUCACCGAGUUGAUCCAGCAAAUGCAAGUGAAAGGUGUGCAGGUUAGAUUCCAGGGCUCUUUAGCAUUCCUCGCCUGAACAUUUAAGUCUUAUAAAUUGGAAUAUCUAUCAAUUAUUGUUCAUAGUUUUCUCAUCCUUUGAACUAUUAUUGUGUCUGCAAUGGUAAUAUGCACUCGGCAUGUCCAUUCAGUUGCAAUUUACUCUAGUUUAUCUGAAGAUUUGUUUCCUCAUGUUGUGAAACUGGCAGUACCCUGGAACUCUAAAACUACCAUAGUACCAUACGAUUUGACUUGUAGGAUAAGCACAACAAAAUUCGGCAUAGCUUAGCUCUGAUGAACUAGUAUGGCAUCAAAAUUGUGAAGAUAUGCACUUAAAUUCAAAGAACAAUACCUGAUAAUUUGCUGUCAAUAGCUACUCUUUUUUCCAUGCAAUUGUCAACCCCAUUUCAAAAGAGGAGAGGGCCUUGAGUGAAACAUUGUUCUAAGCUUGCUUAUUCACUUGCAUCUGUUCAGUAUGGGACCUUGUCACAUGGCGACAUGGUCAGCAACCAAGUUUAUAUGACUAUCUGAGGCCAUGGUUUGAUCCUUUAGUUUGAUUAUGUUAGUACUUCAGUUACCAGAAUAUGUAUAAUGAUAGGUGCUUCUAGAAAUCUGUAGGGAACACUCUUUUUUUCAAGUUAUCCAUAUGAAAACCCAGGCAUUUGUAUAUCAUACUUUGGAUGGAUCUUUUUAACACCUCUUAUGUACUUGUCAUGCUGUCUUUAUACUUUGGGAUGUCAUUUUUGAUGACCGUUAUGUACUUGUUAUGCUAUUUUUAUACUCUGGGAUGGGUCUUUUUAACACGCCUUGUAUAAUUGUUAUAAUUAAACAGGUGGAAGAGCUUUACUCUCUUGAUGUGGACUCUCUUAGUGAACUGCGGUGAGAAUCAUUAUUUUUAGUGUAAUCAAUAUCUGUUCUCUCAGUUUAGUUAACUCAUCCUUCAUCUCCACCUUUCAUAGGCCAAUAUAUGGGCUAAUUUUUCUCUUCAAGUGGAUACCUGGGGACAAGGAUGAACGACCUGUUGUCAGAGAUCCUAAUCCAAACCUUUUCUUUGCUCACCAAGUUAGUUCCAUUCUGGUCCUUUUGCUAACCAUGUUUGCUGUAGUACUCUGUGCUUAACAAGUUAAUCUAUUUGCUCAUUUCCAGGUGAUCAAUAAUGCAUGUGCUACUCAAGCUAUUCUCUCAGUUCUCAUGAACCGCCCAGAAAUUGACAUAGGUCCAGAGUUAUCUCAAUUGAAGGAAUUCACAGGAGCUUUUACACCUGAUCUGAAGGGCUUAGCCAUCGGCAACAGCGAAUCCAUUCGGACAGCUCAUAACAGUUUUGCAAGGCCAGAGCCAUUCAUUUCUGAUGAGCAGAGAGCCGCGACUAAGGAUGAUGAUGUGUACCAUUUCAUAAGCUAUUUACCUUUUGAAGGUGUGCUCUAUGAGCUGGAUGGGCUGAAGGAAGGGCCUGUAAACCUUGGGCAGUGCGGUGGUCUUGAUGACCUCGAUUGGCUACAGAUGGUGCAGCCAGUCAUUCAAGAAAGAAUCGAGCGUUAUUCACAGAGUGAGAUUAGGUUCAAUCUUAUGGCCAUCAUAAAGAAUAGGAAGGAGGUGUACAGUGCCGAGCUGGAGGAUCUGGAGAAGAGAAGGGAGCAAAUUUUACAGGAGAUGAACAAGACCUCCGCCACAGAAUCUUUGAACAACUCGCUCACAGAGGUGAUAUCAGCAAUUGAAACUGUCAGCGAGAAGAUCAUCAUGGAAGAAGAGAAGUUCAAGAAGUGGAAGACGGAGAACAUCCGGAGGAAGCACAACUACAUCCCUUUCCUGUUCAACUUGUUGAAGAUGCUUGCAGAGAAGCAGCAGCUAAAACCUCUGGUGGAGAAGGCCAAGCAGCAAAAGUCGUCGAGCCCAAGCACAAGAUGAUGGUGACAUGCCGUUUGAUGUAUCAAGUGCCUAGGGUUAAUUGCAUCUUGCUCUCUGUGUGCGCAUUAUCUUAUAUCAGAUACAUUGCCUAGUUGGCAGCUUAGAGAAAUCAUUACUAAGGUUAUAGACCAUUUUGCUCGCUGUGGUGUGUUAUCAACUGCGCCAGUUUUGGUGAGCACGCACGAAUUGGUUGUUUAUUUUGUCAGGUUAUUAAUUGUUCUUCUGGAUUAUGAAAUGUGUUGAAGGCUGUGGAUCGUUUUGGAUAUUCCUUUUGAGAUGGCCGCUUGCUAAUCUUUAUCAGAUAUAUACCGUGAGUCCACUGGAUCCAUUGUUAUCUCAGGAGUGAUUAAUCUAAUGUUGCUUGUCGGGAUUGCGCACGAGCAAACGUGACCCGUUUAGCUAGGUAGCUCACUUAUUAGAACUAGACUGCUUCACCCCCAAAACUAUAAAACCGGGUAGUUGUCACUCUCAGGGGGUGUUUGGAUGGGGGUAUUAAACUUUAGGAGGGGUCACAUCGGAUGUUCGGAUGCUAAUUAGAAGGACUAAACAUGAGCUAAUUAUAAAACUAACUGCAGAACCCCUAUACUAAUUCGCGAGACGAAUCUAUUAAGCCUAAUUAAUCUAUCAUUAGCAAAUGGUUACUGUAGCACCACAUUGUCAAAUCAUGGACUAAUUAGGCUUAAUAGAUUCGUCUCACGAAUUAGACUCCAUCUGUGUAAUUAGUUUUGUAAUUAGACUAUAUUUAAUACUCCUAAUUAGUAUCCAAACAUCCGAUGUGACGGGUACUAAAAUUUAUGGGGUGUAUCCAAACACCCCCUCAGCCACAUACAACUAUUCAAUGGAGCCCCCUUUCUGGUUUUACACGGUGGUUUUGCCAGCUGGCGAGAUGACGUGGACACAGACGCUGACAUGGACCAGCUGACAUGUGGGCCUAGGUAGCCUGUCGUCUCCUCCCGUCCUCUGCCGUCGCCCGUUCCUCUCCUCCCCUGACCCGAGCAGGGGAAGCAAUCUCACGAAAAGCUAUGGCGCCGCCGCACCAGGGACGCCUCAGCUCUGGUAGUGGUGGGUCGACGCAGCGCUUCACGUGCCCUUCUCAUCGCAGAGCAAGGAGCAUAGGCGCGCGCGGUGGCCGGGGAAGGUGGGCGUGGGUACGGCCACUCGAUUUCGGCGAAUGGAAGCGCUCACGACCACCGGGGGAGGAGCACGCGGCUGCAGCACCCAGUUCCCCUCCGCGCUGAUAAGUGAACGGCCUCUUUGGUCGGCCAUGGAGCUCGCCGACGCUGCUCCUUCCGCCUCCCUCGGCCUUCAUUGCCACAACUCCCUUGGCCAUGGGGCUUGUUGCCGCAGCACCGCGUUUAGCUCGUGCACCUUGAGCUUGCUGUUCGCAUGGAGGGGCUUGCUGUUCGCAUGGAGGAGCUUGUUGCAGUAAGUAUUGGGACCUUUUUGGCAUCUGUGUAAUUGGCCGUGGGCUCAGCGAGGAGGAUGGAUUUAACGACAAUGGCGACCUUGCUCCAGUGGCCGGAGUUGGGGAAGAUGACUCCGGCCCGUCGUUUGCUGCACGGAGAGGGUGAAGGAGUGGUGGGGCUGCGCAGAGGAGGUUGUGGUGGUUCUCCCUACAGCAGAUUUGGGGCAAGGGGAGUUGAGAGGAGGAGGAGGAGCACAGGAGCUCGGUGGGAGGCCCCAUCGGCUCCUUGCUUUGACCGGAGGGGAAAAUGACCGAGGAAGAGAGAAGAAAAAGAAAACGGUUAUGACAUGUGGGUCCAGUGUGACAUGGAUUGCCAACAUGGCAAAACCACCUAAUGAAAUCACCACAGGGGUAGAUUAGACGGUUUUGCAAAGGUACCUGGUUUUAUAGGUUGGGAGGUAUAAUAGUUUUAUAAAAAAGAUCGGUGUGUUUUCCGAAUUAUUCGUGUGGUUUAAAUUUGGAUAUAUGAAAAAAAGGUAUACGUGAUUUGGUUUCUGAGUGGAUUUUUUUUUUCAAAAAUGUCCAUGAUGAGUAGCAACUACUCGUACAGUAGUAGUAGUCAGUGUGUGGGAAGCAGAGGACGCCAAGCCCAAAAACAGAAAUCGGGUGGAUGUGGAUGGAUAAACUGAUAAAAAAGCCCAGCCCCUUCUCCUUCUUGGAAUCGAUGGCGUAGGCCCAGAGCGAUCUAGUUUUGCAUCUGUGUAUCUGCCUCCCUUCCGCUCCUCUCCUCCGCCCCCACCCCCACCCCCACCCCCACCACCGCCGCCUCCGCCCGCCCCCGCCGCCGCAGGCAGAAAGGAUGGAAGCCCCGGGCUCCCCCUACGCCUCCUCGCCGGAAUCCGCCCCCAAGCGCGCCCCACGCUCCCCCCCGCAGCAGCAGCAGCAGCAGCAGCAGCCCUCCGAGGAAGGAGGUAACCACGCAUCUCCCUCUCCGGCACACGCACGGGUUCGCUCCUCCGCAUCUGCACGUGGCCCCUGAGUGUGUGUGCCUGGAUCCGUGAGAUCUGGGCCUCCGCCUCCUGCUCUGAUGCCGAGAUCUGCGAGCAAUCUGUUGCCGGUGCGAUAUUGCGUCGCGUCGCCAUUGAUAGACAUCAAUUUGAGCUGUGCGCCGCGUUUUCCAGUGGAGAUAGGAUCCGUUAUACGUGGGUUUGCCCUAGCAUCAAUGCAUAGGGCGUUCGACUUAGUGCUGGUUUAUGUGUAUGCACCUGUUUUUAUUGCUGAUGCCGUGCCAAUACAUACAUGUACCGGAAGCAGCAUCAAGGGGGAUGAUAUGUGGGCGUGGCAGCCUUUGGUUAGGACAGUAAAUGCUGAUGGUAGACAACUAGACAUCAUCUUCUGAACACUACUGCAAAAUUAUUCAUCCUCUCCUCAUAAGUAAUACUAGUAGUUUCAGUUACACAUACACUACUGCUGCAAUUAAGUGUUGGGCAUUGGACCAGAAGACGCCAAUUAAAUUAAUCUUGUAGUUAGGGGGGGGGGGACUUUCUGCUAUGGACACAUGUUUUUGUGAAAACAUGCUAUUGUUGAUGCUUAAAUCUUGGUGCUCGGGUCAAUUCUGUGUAAGUACUUGCCCUUCAGUAGUCUUCUUAGUUUGAAAAAUGCGCAGUGGAAACGGAUGCUGGAGUAGUCUUUGGCGAAAUUUUUAGGCCCCAAUAGAUCAGAUCAAGAAUGAUUCGUAGACUAAAAUUGGUUACUAUUGACAUUUAUAGCCCCAAUCAUACGAGAAGGGAUCGAGUCCAGAAUGAGGAUAUACGUGAUAGGUUAGGGGUAGCACCUAUUGAAGAAAAGCUUAUCCAACACCGGCUGAGAUGGUUUGGACAUGUCCAACGAAGGCCUCUGGAGGCACCGUAGUGGAACCCUAAGGCAUGACAGCAAUGUGAAGAUAGGCAGAGGAAGACCAAAAUUGACAUGGGAAGAGGCAAUAAAAGGAGAUUUGAAGGGAUGGAAUAUACCCAAAGAUUUAGCCCUAGAUAGGAGUGCUUGGAAACAGCUAUUCAUGUGAACCCUGAUUUGUGGCUCUUGUUGGGUUUCAACUGUAGCCUACCCCAACUUGCUUGGGAUUGAAAGGCUAUGUUGUUGUUGUUGUUGAAUUGACAUUUAUAAUCCUCUUGUCGAAUGAGCCCUCAGUCCUGUACACUUGUCCACAUAAUCAAUCCAGUUGGUCGCCUAUAUGAACCCACUAGCUUCCCUUCCCAACUUGUGAAGUAAUUUGGUCUGCUUAAAAUGCCUUUUUUUUUCUACUUAGUAUGCAGUGUGCAUUGGUUCUGUGAAAAUAUAUUAGUUACAUCCAAUUUGAGGGUACAUACCGCAUAGAAUUCUCUUAUUUCAUCAACUUUUUUAUGGGUAAUAUGGAUGCACUUGCUUACUGUUUUCUGCAACUGUAAUUUUGUAUAUUAACUGAAAUUAUUUAAGUUCAUAAAAAAAUAUCAUUAGGCUCAACUGAGAUAUAUACUCCACAUGAUGGUUACCAGUUAGGGAUUCAACUCAUAAUGGCUUAGUUAUUCAGAUUAAAGUUGCUUCUACAUAAUUCUGAAUUUUCAAGUGAUGUUUCUUCUCAGAUGACAAGGAGAAGCCAACACAUUUGAGGUUCCUCGUGUCUAAUACCGCAGCAGGAUGUAUAAUUGGCAAGGGUGGAUCAACUAUCAAUGACUUCCAAUCCCAGUCUGGGGCUCGUAUUCAGUUAUCACGCAGCCAUGAAUUUUUCCCUGGUACAAAUGACCGAAUCAUCAUGGUGUCUGGACUGUUUGAUGAAGUAAUGAAGGCCAUGGAGCUGAUUCUUGAGAAACUUUUGGCUGAGGUAAAACAUGUUAUUUUGCAAGCGAUUGUUGAUGAUUGGAGAUUGAUGUUCUUCAGUUACUUUCUCAGGGUGAAGAAUUCCAGGAAGCUGAAGCUAGACCUAAAGUUAGACUUGUAGUUCCUAACAGCUCCUGUGGUGGGAUAAUUGGUAAAGGUGGAGCGACAAUAAAGUAUGUCUCUUUGUAAACCUGUUUUUUUUAAUUCUGUUGUGCUAGCAGUUGAUUUAUUCCCAUUGUGGUAGUUGCUUUACAAGCUGGUGCAAUAUAAUGAUAUCCUUUUCCUACUUUUUCCAAUAGUCUUCUACUUGUUUGAAUGGUAUUUUUCCCCAUAGUCCUAAAUAUCCCUGUGUGGGAACUUUCACGCUGAGUACGCCCCUACAGUCCUAAUAUCCUGUGACUUGUCUAUAUUUUCAUUUUGUAUUGCUUUGUUUUUUGUGUUACUCUGGACUAUGGAUGUUGAAAGUUGGUGUUCUCUUUUCACUUCAGGUCGUUUAUUGAAGAAUCACAUGCUGGAAUCAAAAUUUCACCACAGGAUAACAACUAUGCUGGUUUGCAUGAUAGGCUUGUUACUGUGACUGGAACCUUCGAUAACCAGAUGAAUGCAAUAGAUUUGAUAUUGAAGAAGUUAUCUGAGGAUGUUCAUUACCCACCUAAUUUGAGUUCCCCAUUUCCAUAUGCAGGUAGAAUCCUAGCAUUUCUGGCUACUUGAUGUUACCACAUGCUAACUGGGUUGCUUAUUUGAAAAUGUCUCAUCAUGAUGUCUUCCUUGUAUGUCUUUCAUGUACUGCAUCGGCAUUUCACGCCGGAUGAUACCAUUCAUGUCUUAAGAAAACAUAGCUGAGCUUGCUUGCGUAUUGACAUGUGUUAUUUGUAGUGCCAUCUGCGAGGCAGGGGCAAGGAUGAAAUUUCAAUUCUACCAUCGAGUCACAACUUUCUGUGUCUGAUUUCCUUCUUUCAAAAAUAUUCAGGUCUUACUUUCCCAAGCUACCCUGGUGUUCCUGUUGGUUAUAUGAUUCCACAGGUGCCAUAUAAUAAUGCUGUGAACUAUGGACCUAAUGGGUAUGGAGGAGGAAGGUACCAAAACAACAAGGUUCGUGUUUUUUCUGGGUUGCUCUGGUUGUUGUCGUGCAUCCCACUCGUGUGGAUUUAUUCUGUAUGUGAAUUGAGAUAUGCAUGAUACAUGCAUUCAGUCCAUCUGUGUUGAAAGUGAGCUUUCUAUGUUCUCUUCUGUUACGCAUUAGAGAAGUAGGCUGGAGCCUUGGAGGCCUGAUACGUGUCAUCUUUUAUCUAAUAGAAACACUAUUCUCUAGUCUGUGUAAUUAUUUUAUAUUAUCUAUUUUGAACAAAGUCAAUGAAAUGUCAUGGAGGCAAACUUUGGGAGGUCUCAUGAAUUUAAGGUGAUAUCGUACUAGCUCUGUCAUGGGCACUACUGAUCUUUGUCGACAUUAGAGUGCGACCUAAUAUUAGAAUGAUCUUAUGAGCCACAGUGUUGGUAUUCUCGAUUUAAUUCAUGCAUGCUAUCUUGCAGUUUGAUUACCCUGCCUUAAAAAGUUUUUACGCCAUAGAAUUAUGUGCAUGUAUUUCAUGACUAGACAAGACUGCUUGUAUGCUGAAAUGUUUGAAAUACUAUUAUGUUUUCUGUGAACGCCAUGCUUAAUUUUGGUUCGUUGAUGUUGCGCAUCUCUUGAAAAGUAUGGCUAUUGGUGAAAGGCGUGAAAGAACUUUCACCCAAUCUUACAAUUUAAUUGUUUCUAUAUCUUUGACAUAUCUACAUUGUUGGAUUUGAGUUCUAAAGAUCUGCUGCGAAUUCUGCAGCCCAGCACACCUAUGAGAUCACCUGCAAAUAAUGAUGCCCAAGAAUCUCUCACCAUUGGUGUGGCCGAUGAACACAUUGGUGCUGUUGUAGGUCGUGCUGGAAGGAACAUAACAGAGAUCAUUCAGGUAAUUGUACAUAUGAUUUGCAUUUGGUUUUACUGCAGCGGCAUCUAGUGACCAGUGUCAUAAGCUGUAUCUCCCAGUAUGAUUGAUAUUGCCAAUUGCUUGUGCCCUCUUAAAUCUCGUUUUGGCCAAGUAGUUUGCCGCUAAGUUAAGUAAAUAGUAUAUUCAGAAGCAAAAUAUUUUCCGUAUUACUAAUAUUUUGAGCAACUCUAAAUAAACUGCUGCUGCCUGCCUUUGGUGUUGAACUGUUGAUGCUGUUGCUGCCUUCGGUGUCAAUGCAUCAAGUUUGCAGUAAAAUCAGUCAUGACAUUAGGUUUGCAGUAAAAUCAGUCUCUCAAUAAACACUUGCAAUUUGUUGUAAAUGCAGGCUAGUGGUGCAAGGAUCAAGAUAUCAGAUAGGGGAGACUUCAUAUCUGGGACAUCUGACAGGUACUUACUUCCUUUGGCACAUGGUCACCGCAAGUGGGACACUACGAUUUGCUAACUUUUGACUCACCGGUUCAGGAAAGUGACGAUUACUGGAACAUCUGAAGCUAUCCGGACCGCCGAGUCCAUGAUCAUGCAGAGGGUGUCAGCCAGUUCAGAGAGGUGAUGAGCCCCUCUUGGAAUGGAGUCGGAGCGCUUCUCACUGCGCAUGUUUGAUGCAAGUUAGGAGGACGUGAUAAUUUGUUUUUUGUUUUCUUUUUCCCUAGCAAAGCUCGAGAGAAAUCAAAGUUAUUAUUGUUUGUUGCGUCCGACCGAUGGUUUUAUGUUAGUAUAAACUGGUAGUAGAAGAUAAUUAGGUGCGCCGUCGUUUGGAUUGAUUUCGGAAUAGAGCGAGUUUUAUAUUUCGUGAGGGUCCAUAACAAGACGCUGGUCUGCCUAGCGCUGCCUGCCUUGUGUUAGUUUGAGAAUUCCAUUCCGUUGAUCAAGGAUAGAAGAAUAUUUAUUGAUGGUAGAGAGGACAUGAGGAGGACUGGUUUGCUUUCGCUGUGCUGUUGAUGGUACCCCAAAUGGCGUUACUAUUGCUACAUGUCUUUUUUCUUUUGGAAAAUAAAUGAAAUGACUGGAACGUUUUUUGAAGCUUUCGCUCGAGUGCCCACCUGAGUCAGAUGGUUUCGGCGGGCGGUGAGGAAUGACUAGGAUGAGAUGCAAAAGCUCCCCUAUCAUGCGUGGAAAGUCCCAAGUACUUGAAAGGCAGAUUCGUCGCGUGUACAUAGACAGUUUCCAUUUUUUUUUCCUCUUCUGAUUAGAGCUAGUUGUCGGCAGCUGUCAGUCUAUCCAUUAGUCCCAAAUUACUAUUUUUCUAAAUACAUAACUUUUAAUAUGCGUUUAGAUAUAUACUAUGUCUAGAAACAUGAACAAAAUUAUGUAUCUAGAAAAGCAAAACGAAUAGUAUUUUGGGACAGAGGGAGUAUUAUUUAGUCCAUUCCGUUUCAAUUUGUGUUGUUUUAAUCUUUCUAAAUUUAUUAUUUUUGCAAUGCACCUUAUGUCUAAAUGUACUAUAUAAAUAUAUAAAAUCUAAAAUGACCUUACAAUUUGAAGUGGAGGUAAUAUUAUAGAAAAAAAUACAAAAAUUACAUAUAUACUUAUAGAAAGUAACCAUUAUGUCAAGUUAUCAAAAACGUAUAUCCGUAGAGAAGUCGAGUUCUGCACGAUGUAAUUUCGCACAGUACUCUCUCUAUCCCGAAUUGUAAUUCGUUUUAACAUUUCUACGUUCAUAACUUUUACCAUGUAUCUAGAUAUAAUAUAUAUAUAUAUAUAAGUGCAUAGAAAAACUCUGAGUUUAGAAAUACCAAAACAAGCUAAGAUAUGAAACGUAGAGAGCAUCGUAUAAUUCUAUUCCGUGCCACCAUAUUUCAAGAAAUAUACUUACUUUCACUCAUUAAGUACGCGAUUAUGCCGUGCUUAUCGAGGUGGGCCCCGCCUGUAGGCUUCUAGAAGACUCCAGGCUAGGCCAGGCCUCGAGUCCACACACCAGGGGAGGGAGACGCGGUUGCACGGGCACCAGGCCCACCUCUUGUUCCUUCCUUCGUGGGGUGGUUGGUCGUCUCCCUCCUCACGCCGACGCCAAACCAAAAAAGCGCCUACCACCAGCGACUUCAACUUCCUCCUCCUCAUCGCCCGCCCGCCUUGUGUUCGCCGCCUCCACCUCACCCCCAAGCCUCCUCCCUCCCACGCCACCCCCAAACCCUAGCAACCCGAUCGGACCCAACCCGAUCCGCCCACCAAAAAAAAAU